Oncorhynchus tshawytscha (Chinook salmon) is the source of this 400-nucleotide long non-coding RNA. The record is from Ensembl. NCBI's taxonomy places the organism in Eukaryota, Metazoa, Chordata, Actinopteri, Salmoniformes, Salmonidae.
AGGUGUGUAUAGGUGUGUGUAUAGGUGUGUAUAGGUGUGUGUAUAGGUGUGUGUAUAGGUGUGUAUAGGUGUGUGUAUAGGUGUGUGUAGGUGUGUAUAGGUGUGUGUAGGUGUGUAUAGGUGUGUGUAGGUGUGUAUAGGUGUGUGUAGGUGUGGAGGUGUGUAUAGGUGUGUGUAGGUGUGUAGGUGUGUGUGUAGGUGUGUGUGUAGGUGUGUAUGGGAGGGAGGUGUGUAUAGGUGUGUGUAGGUGUGUAUGGGAUUGUUAGGCCAAAGCUUUUCCUCUCAUUUCUUGGCAUAUUUUGCUAUGCUAUUUCACUGUGUGUGUGAGUGUGUUGUUUUGUGUCUCCCUCUCUUUCUCAUACUCUCUCUCUUUAAUCUCUAUUGCUCUCUUUCUCAUACU